Molecule: non-coding RNA, 19 nt
Filed under: Arabidopsis thaliana (thale cress)
Lineage: Eukaryota; Viridiplantae; Streptophyta; Magnoliopsida; Brassicales; Brassicaceae
Source: RNAcentral
UGGGUCGGCCGGUCCGCCU